Molecule: ribosomal RNA, 440 nt
Filed under: uncultured bacterium
Lineage: Bacteria
Description: partial 16S ribosomal RNA
Rfam family: Bacterial small subunit ribosomal RNA
Source: RNAcentral
CCUACGGGAGGCAGCAGUGGGGAAUAUUGCACAAUGGGGGAAACCCUGAUGCAGCGACGCCGCGUGAGGGAAGAAGGAAUUCGUAAUGUAAAGCUCUAUCAGCAGGGAAGAAAAGGACGGUACCUGAGCACUAAUCACCGGCUAACUACGUGCCAGCAGCCGCCGUCCUACGUCGGGGGCGAGCGUUAUCCGGAUUUACUGGGUGGAAAGGGAGCGGAGGCGGCAGGGCAAGUUUGGAGUGAAAGGCGGGGGGUCAACACCCGGACUGCUCUGGAAACUGGACGGCUGGAGUGCAGGAGAGGGAAGUGGAAUUCCUGGUGUAGCGGUGAAAUGCGUAGAUAUUAGGAGGAACACCAGUGGCGAAGGCGGCUUACUGGACUGUAACUGACGUUGAGGCUCGAAAGCGUGGGGAGCAAACAGGAUUAGAUACCCUAGUAGUC